Molecule: transfer RNA, 90 nt
Filed under: Nitrolancea sp.
Lineage: Bacteria; Pseudomonadati; Thermomicrobiota; Thermomicrobia; Sphaerobacterales; Sphaerobacteraceae
Also listed under: 5 other names
Description: tRNA-Ser
Rfam family: tRNA
About the family: Transfer RNA (tRNA) molecules are approximately 80 nucleotides in length.
Source: RNAcentral
GGAGGGAUGCCAGAGCGGACGAAUGGGACGGUCUCGAAAACCGUUGAGGCCUUCGGGUCUCCGUGGGUUCAAAUCCCACUCCCUCCGCCA